UUUUUAUUUUUAAAAAAGAUAAGUCGUAACAUAGUAGAUGUACUGGAAAGUGUAUCUAGAAUGA
Molecule: ribosomal RNA, 64 nt
Filed under: Podallea sp. YW-2016
Lineage: Eukaryota; Metazoa; Arthropoda; Insecta; Neuroptera; Berothidae
Description: 12S ribosomal RNA
Source: RNAcentral